This 463-nucleotide ribosomal RNA is filed under the name Shuttleworthella satelles. RNAcentral's name for it is "bacterial SSU rRNA". It matches the Rfam family "Bacterial small subunit ribosomal RNA", at positions 28 to 488 of the family's 1533-position model. Lineage: Bacteria; Bacillati; Bacillota; Clostridia; Lachnospirales; Lachnospiraceae. The record is from RNAcentral.
GAUGAACGCUGGCGGCGUGCUUAACACAUGCAAGUCGAACGAGAAAUGAUAUUACGAUCUCUUCGGAGUGACGGUUUUAUUUCGAGUGGCGGACGGGUGAGUAACGCGUGAGCAACCUGCCCUAUACCGGGGGAUACCAGUUGGAAACGACUGUUAAUACCGCAUAAGCGCACGAUAAGACAUCUUGUUGUGUGAAAAACUCCGGUGGUAUAGGAUGGGCUCGCGUAUGAUUAGCCAGUUGGCGGGGUAAAGGCCCACCAAAGCGACGAUCAUUAGCCGACCUGAGAGGGCGACCGGCCACAUUGGGACUGAGACACGGCCCAAACUCCUACGGGAGGCAGCAGUGGGGAAUAUUGCACAAUGGGCGAAAGCCUGAUGCAGCGACGCCGCGUGAGUGAGGAAGUAUUUCGGUAUGUAAAGCUCUAUCAGCAGGGAAGAAAGAAAUGACGGUACCUGAGUAAGA